Molecule: ribosomal RNA, 465 nt
Filed under: uncultured bacterium
Lineage: Bacteria
Description: partial 16S ribosomal RNA
Rfam family: Bacterial small subunit ribosomal RNA
Source: RNAcentral
GACGAACGCUGGCGGCGUGCUUAACACAUGCAAGUCGAACGGAAAGGCCCUGCUUGCAGGGUACUCGAGUGGCGAACGGGUGAGUAACACGUGGGUGAUCUGCCCUGCACUUCGGGAUAAGCCUGGGAAACUGGGUCUAAUACCGGAUAGGAGCCAUUUUUAGUGUGAUGGUUGGAAAGUUUUUUCGGUGUAGGAUGAGCUCGCGGCCUAUCAGCUUGUUGGCGGGGUAAUGGCCUACCAAGGCGGCGACGGGUAGCCGGCCUGAGAGGGUGGACGGCCACAUUGGGACUGAGAUACGGCCCAGACUCCUACGGGAGGCAGCAGUGGGGAAUAUUGCACAAUGGGCGCAAGCCUGAUGCAGCGACGCCGCGGGGGGGAUGACGGCCUUCGGGUUGUAAACUCCUUUCGCUAGGGACGAAGCUUUUUGUGACGGUACCUAGAUAAGAAGCACCGGCUAACUACGUG